UACGUAGGGGGCGAGCGUUGUCCGGAAUCAUUGGGCGUAAAGCGCGUGUAGGCGGCCCGGUAAGUCCGCUGUGAAAGUCCAGGGCUCAACCCUGGGAUGCCGGUGGAUACUGCCGGGCUCGAGUCCGGAAGAGGCGAGUGGAAUUCCCGGUGUAGCGGUGAAAUGCGCAGAUAUCGGGAGGAACACCAAUGGCGAAGGCAGCUCGCUGGGACGUGACUGACGCUGAGACGCGAAAGCGUGGGGAGCAAACAGG
This 253-nucleotide ribosomal RNA is filed under the name uncultured bacterium. Its description in RNAcentral is "partial 16S ribosomal RNA". It matches the Rfam family "Bacterial small subunit ribosomal RNA", at positions 524 to 776 of the family's 1533-position model. The record is from RNAcentral.